GGGCGUUUAGCUCAGUCGGCUAGAGCGCUUCCCUUACAAGGAAGAUGUCGGGGGUUCGAGUCCCUCAACGCCCA
This 74-nucleotide transfer RNA is filed under the name Acidimicrobiaceae bacterium. RNAcentral's name for it is "tRNA-Val". It matches the Rfam family "tRNA". From Rfam's summary of the family: Transfer RNA (tRNA) molecules are approximately 80 nucleotides in length. Their secondary structure includes four short double-helical elements and three loops (D, anti-codon, and T loops). The record is from RNAcentral. Lineage: Bacteria; Bacillati; Actinomycetota; Acidimicrobiia; Acidimicrobiales; Acidimicrobiaceae.